This is a long non-coding RNA of Nymphalis io (European peacock), 418 nucleotides long. RefSeq lists it as uncharacterized. The transcript has 5 exons. NCBI's taxonomy places the organism in Eukaryota, Metazoa, Arthropoda, Insecta, Lepidoptera, Nymphalidae. The record is from RefSeq and is a predicted model, not a curated record.
GUAUCCGUCAUGCGUAACUGUUCGGUUGAGCGUUCAUAAUAAUUAUGAACGAAACGAAAAUUCGAUAAAUGGAGCCGAGAGAAUAUUCCUUUGCAAAUAGAAUCGCAACAUUGGAUCGAGUGUUCGAUUCAAAUAUCGAAGUGACAGACGGUCCGAUCACACAAGUUUUAAUUGGCUUGUUUUCGCUCCGGACGUAACCGCGGUCCUCCCAAAAUGAUCAUCAUUAUCGUCAUCUGGUCGCACGACGCUCCGGGGUGUUGGCGCCAACGACACCACACGACUUCUACUUAAUGAAUACUGAAAGGUGUUUGAUAACGAAUAAAAAUGCAGCGUGGAAACCACGCAGAAAGCAGAGAAAAAUAUAACCACUUGCAGUCUUAAAAACACACACCUGUUCCCAAGAAAAAUAAGGGCAAAC